AUCUGUGGGAGAGAGAAUAUGAGAGGGAGAAGAAGAAAGGAGAGGAUGGAGAAAGAGAGAGGAAAUAGGAGAAGGAGGCGACGUCGAAUGGGAGAGGGUCAGUGCGGUGGCGCAGCGGACGGCGGCUCGUGUGGUGGUGCGGCGCCGUCGUCCACGUGCUCCUCCUGAAGCUCCUCCUCUCCACCAUGGGUGGAUGCCUGGUGAGGCCAGCGUCCCCUCCACACUCAGUAGGAGCCUGGAUCUUUUAACCACAGAGAUGGUGCAUAAAUAAGAAAAACAAUAAGUGCACUAAUGCUUUUCUGGAAUUCCAUUGGUUUUCUGGAAAUUUUGGUGAAAGCAAGAUUUAAGACAGAGAGGUUCAUGUGCUAGGCCAUCGACACACCUCUCUUCAAGGUAAGGUCAGUUCUAAGGUGAGCUCAUCCUAUUUUCUUUCUUCAAUCUCAGGCGAAGAUUCAUCUCUCUAACCUACUACCUCUCUAUAGAAUUUAGAAAUCCGAAAGUCAGAAGAUGUAGGCAGAAUUAGUCAUGCAUUCAAAAGUUAGGGAUUUCAUGCUACAUGCAAAAUGUUUUCUAUUGGGCAGCAACACAUAACAUGUGGCGCUUUAGGGCUGCUUCCUACUGGUUAUCGACAUAAAAUUUAUAAUUUUGUGAUGCCUAGCCUUUUACUGUUGGAAGGAGGAUAUUCAAUGUGGUUCUUUGCCCCCAUUUUUUAUCUAUAUGCAUUGCGUAAAAGUUCUUUGUGUUUUGUUGAUGGAAUAUUGAUACUCAGCUGUGUGCCAAUUUAUAACUAAUCAUAAAAGGGAGAAGAAUAAACUCAAGCACAUUGGAUAAAUGUAACUUGCAGAAAUUUAAUGUUCUCUUCUCCUUUGUAGGUCCCGAGUCGGUUAAUGUUGAUUUUGCUCAUGCGCAACCCAUCAUAGGAGUCAGUAGGAUCAUCUUCAAUGGGUGUAUGGACUGCAAUAGGUAAAUGCCUUUUUGUUUUCACAUUCGAAAUUAUGGAUUGAACACUUCAUUGAGAUAUUACACACCGAGAACCCUAGGUGUAGCCAUGAGCAAGAAUAGAUGGGAUCAACAAUUACAGAGCAUGAAUAUAGAGAUGUCCAAGAGUUACACUUUAUUAUGAUACUCCUGCUCACCCAUGCGUGAGAUGGCCCAUGAUUUCUAUUUACACAUGCUUUUAGAUCUGUAGUGGCAAAGGGUUCAGGUUCUUUACUUACUUGUGUAGGUAAAAGGUUCAUGUUUUUUGUUUUUCAUCUCUUUCCAGAGUGUAUUUAAUGUUUUAAGAAUCCUUGGCACCUUUAGAUGUGAAUAAACAUUCAGAGUGUGUCAAUAGCUAUUUAUUUCCUCGGCAAAUCAACUCACACAUUUUAUAGAUUUUUUUGUCCUCAUCAGUUAUCCGGUUUAAGGUGUCGUGGAUGGCGCACAAGAUGAAGGACAAGGGCGGCAGCAGCCCACAUGAGACACAACUCUUGCUGGUGGAGUGAAGGCCCCGGGGCCUGCGGCGACGAGGAGGAAGACACGUCGUAGGAAACUAAGCUGGAUGGUGAGAAUGCUGAUGUUGUGGUUACUGGAGAUGAGAACGUGUAGCCUGACCAAACCAAGCCUAAGAGCUGUGUCCCUCACUCUGUUGAGCAUGUUUUGGUUGCACUGGUUAGUUGUUAAAGGCUUAGCAGUACCAACCAUGGUGCUGGUGCCGCGGACUCCCCGAUGUGCGCGGCCUCACCGCUCGUCCCUUCUGGCUGCACCUCCCCAUGUCAUGCUGCAGUUUAUCCCUUGUCGAAGUUCUUAUGUGAUUCAUCUCAUACGCAUCGUUGGCUGUUCUCUUUCGGCUUUUCAAGUGGGCUAAGGUUGACCGCUUUCAGGGGUAUGUUAAGGUGUAGGUG
Molecule: long non-coding RNA, 1883 nt
Organism: Triticum aestivum (bread wheat)
Lineage: Eukaryota; Viridiplantae; Streptophyta; Magnoliopsida; Poales; Poaceae
Exons: 6
Source: RefSeq, a predicted model, not a curated record